CCAGACUCCUACGGGAGGCAGCAGUGAGGAAUAUUGGUCAAUGGGCGCGAGCCUGAACCAGCCAAGUAGCGUGAAGGAUGACUGCCCUACGGGUUGUAAACUUCUUUUAUAAAGGAAUAAAGUGAGGCACGUGUGCCUUUUUGUAUGUACUUUAUGAAUAAGCAUCGGCUAACUCCGUGCCAGCAGCCGCGGUAAUACGGAGGAUGCGAGCGUUAUCCGGAUUUAUUGGGUUUAAAGGGUGCGCAGGCGGCCCGGCAAGCCGGCGGUCAAAUCGCGGGGCUCAACCCCGCCCAGCCGUCGGAACUGCCGGGCUAGAGUGGGCGAGAAGUGCGCGGAAUGCGUGGUGUAGCGGUGAAAUGCAUAGAUAUCGCGCAGAACUCCGAUUGCGAAGGCAGCAUGCCGGCUCCACACUGACGCUGAGGCACGAAAGCGUGGGUAUCGAACAGGAUUAGAUACCCCGGUAACG
RNAcentral lists this ribosomal RNA (466 nucleotides) under uncultured bacterium. RNAcentral describes it as "bacterial SSU rRNA". It matches the Rfam family "Bacterial small subunit ribosomal RNA", at positions 331 to 793 of the family's 1533-position model. The record is from RNAcentral.